GUGAACGCUGGCGGUAGGCCUAACACAUGCAAGUCGAACGGCAGCACAGUAAGAGCUUGCUCUUACGGGUGGCGAGUGGCGGACGGGUGAGGAAUACAUCGGAAUCUACUUUUUCGUGGGGGAUAACGUAGGGAAACUUACGCUAAUACCGCAUACGACCUACGGGUGAAAGCAGGGGAUCUUCGGACCUUGCGCGAUUGGAUGAGCCGAUGUCGGAUUAGCUAGUUGGCGGGGUAAAGGCCCGCCAAGGCGACGAUCCGUAGCUGGUCUGAGAGGAUGAUCAGCCACACUGGAACUGAGACACGGUCCAGACUCCUACGGGAGGCAGCAGUGGGGAAUAUUGGACAAUGGGCGCAAGCCUGAUCCAGCCAUACCGCGUGGGUGAAGAAGGCCUUCGGGUUGUAAAGCCCUUUUGUUGGGAAAGAAAAGCAGCAGGUUAAUACCCCGCUGUUCUGACGGUACCCAAAGAAUAAGCACCGGCUAACUUCGUG
This 491-nucleotide ribosomal RNA is filed under the name uncultured bacterium. Its description in RNAcentral is "partial 16S ribosomal RNA". It matches the Rfam family "Bacterial small subunit ribosomal RNA", at positions 29 to 507 of the family's 1533-position model. The record is from RNAcentral.